UACGUAGGGUGCAAGCGUUGUCCGGAAUUAUUGGGCGUAAAGAGCUCGUAGGCGGUCUGUCGCGUCGGCUGUGAAAACCCGGAGCUCAACUCCGGGCCUGCAGUCGAUACGGGCAAACUGGAGUGUUGCAGGGGAGACUGGAAUUCCUGGUGUAGCGGUGAAAUGCGCAGAUAUCAGGAGGAACACCGGUGGCGAAGGCGGGUCUCUGGGCCGAUACUGACGCUGAGGAGCGAAAGCGUGGGGAGCGAACCGG
This 253-nucleotide ribosomal RNA is filed under the name uncultured bacterium. Its description in RNAcentral is "partial 16S ribosomal RNA". It matches the Rfam family "Bacterial small subunit ribosomal RNA", at positions 524 to 776 of the family's 1533-position model. The record is from RNAcentral.